This 301-nucleotide ribosomal RNA is filed under the name uncultured bacterium. RNAcentral's name for it is "partial 16S ribosomal RNA". It matches the Rfam family "Bacterial small subunit ribosomal RNA", at positions 509 to 807 of the family's 1533-position model. The record is from RNAcentral.
CAGCAGCCGCGGUAAUACGAAGGUCCCGAGCGUUGUUCGGAAUCACUGGGCGUAAAGGGAGCGUAGGCGGCGUGGUAAGUCAGAUGUGAAAUCCCGGGGCUCAACCCCGGAACUGCAUCCGAUACUGCCAUGCUAGAGGAUAGGAGAGGUAGCUGGAAUUCUUGGUGUAGCAGUGAAAUGCGUGGAGAUCAAGAGGAACACUCGUGGCGAAAGCGAGCUACUGGACAAUAACUGACGCUGAGGCUCGAAGGCCAGGGUAGCGAAAGGGAUUAGAUACCCGAGUAGUCCCUGUCUCUUAUAC